This 382-nucleotide ribosomal RNA is filed under the name uncultured organism. Its description in RNAcentral is "bacterial SSU rRNA". It matches the Rfam family "Bacterial small subunit ribosomal RNA", at positions 367 to 762 of the family's 1533-position model. The record is from RNAcentral.
CGCAAUGGGCGAAAGCCUGACGGAGCGACGCCGCGUGGUUGAUGAAGUUCUUCGGAACGUAAAAACCUUUUGCCAGGGAGAAAGUCUAUUGAUAGUACUUGGCGAAUAAGGGGUUGCUAAACUCGUGCCAGCAGCAGCGGUAAUACGAGUGCCCCGAGCGUUAUCCGGAAUUAUUGGGCGUAAAGGAUGUGUAGGUGGUUUUGUUAGUCUCUUGUUAAAUUCUUCGGCUUAACCGGGGGUCUGCAAGGGAAACGGCAAAACUUGAGGAUGCGAGGGGUGUGCGGAACUCAUGGUGUAGGGGUGAAAUCUGUUGAUAUCAUGGGGAACACCAAAAGCGAAGGCAGCACACUGGAGCACUCCUGACCCAGGAACAUGAAAGCGU